RNAcentral lists this ribosomal RNA (468 nucleotides) under uncultured bacterium. RNAcentral's name for it is "partial 16S ribosomal RNA". It matches the Rfam family "Bacterial small subunit ribosomal RNA", at positions 28 to 507 of the family's 1533-position model. The record is from RNAcentral.
GACGAACGCUGGCGGCGUGCUUAACACAUGCAAGUCGAACGGAAAGGCCCUGCUUUUGUGGGGUGCUCGAGUGGCGAACGGGUGAGUAACACGUGAGUAACCUGCCCUUGACUUUGGGAUAACUUCAGGAAACUGGGGCUAAUACCGGAUAGGAGCUCCUGCUGCAUGGUGGGGGUUGGAACGUUUCGGCGGUUGGGGAUGGACUCGCGGCUUAUCAGCUUGUUGGUGGGGUAGUGGCUUACCAAGGCUUUGACGGGUAGCCGGCCUGAGAGGGUGACCGGACACAUUGGGACUGAGAUACGGCCCAGACUCGUACGGGAGGCAGCAGUGGGGAAUAUUGCACAAUGGGCGGAAGCCUGAUGCAGCAACGCCGCGUGCGGGAUGACGGCCUUCGGGUUGUAAACCGCUUUCGCCUGUGACGAAGCGUGAGUGACGGUAAUGGGUAAAGAAGCACCGGCUAACUACGUG